This 478-nucleotide ribosomal RNA is filed under the name uncultured bacterium. RNAcentral describes it as "partial 16S ribosomal RNA". It matches the Rfam family "Bacterial small subunit ribosomal RNA", at positions 28 to 507 of the family's 1533-position model. The record is from RNAcentral.
GAUUAACGCUGGCGGCGUGCAUAACACAUGCAAGUCGAACGAUGAAACUCAUUAGAUUUCUUCGGAAUGAAACUGAAUGGAUUAGUGGCGAACGGGUGAGUAACGCGUGAGUAACCUGCCUUACACAAGGGGAUAGCCUCUGGAAACGGAGAAUAAUACCCUAUGAAACCAGACAAUCGCAUGAUAAUCUGGUCAAAAUGUUUAGUGGUGUAAGAUGGACUUGCGUCUGAUUAGCUAGUUGGUGAGAUAAAAGCCCACCAAGGCAACGAUCAGUAGCCGGCUUGAGAGAGUGUACGGCCACAUUGGGACUGAGACACGGCCCAGACUCCUACGGGAGGCAGCAGUGGGGAAUUUUGCACAAUGGGGGAAACCCUGAUGCAGCGACGCCGCGUGAUUUAGAAGGCCUUCGGGUUGUAAAAAUCUUUUGUAUAGGAAGAAAAUGACAGUACUAUACGAAUAAGGUCCGGCUAAUUACGUG